RNAcentral lists this ribosomal RNA (385 nucleotides) under uncultured Gammaproteobacteria bacterium. Its description in RNAcentral is "bacterial SSU rRNA". It matches the Rfam family "Bacterial small subunit ribosomal RNA", at positions 60 to 441 of the family's 1533-position model. Lineage: Bacteria; Pseudomonadati; Pseudomonadota; Gammaproteobacteria. The record is from RNAcentral.
AGUCGAACGGUAACAGGAAGCAGCUUGCUGCUUCGCUGACGAGUGGCGGACGGGUGAGUAAUGUCUGGGAAACUGCCUGAUGGAGGGGGAUAACUACUGGAAACGGUAGCUAAUACCGCAUAACGUCGCAAGACCAAAGAGGGGGACCUUAGGGCCUCUUGCCAUCGGAUGUGCCCAGAUGGGAUUAGCUAGUAGGUGGGGUAACGGCUCACCUAGGCGACGAUCCCUAGCUGGUCUGAGAGGAUGACCAGCCACACUGGAACUGAGACACGGUCCAGACUCCUACGGGAGGCAGCAGUGGGGAAUAUUGCACAAUGGGCGCAAGCCUGAUGCAGCCAUGCCGCGUGUAUGAAGAAGGCCUUCGGGUUGUAAAGUACUUUCAGCG